This 75-nucleotide non-coding RNA is filed under the name Candidatus Kentrum sp. LPFa. Lineage: Bacteria; Pseudomonadati; Pseudomonadota; Gammaproteobacteria. The record is from RNAcentral.
GAGAGCCGUGUGCGGGAAAACCGUACGCACGGUUCGGAGGGAGGGCAGGGCAACCGAAUGAAACUACUUUUCAAU